Molecule: transfer RNA, 67 nt
Filed under: Pseudoglomeris angustifolia
Lineage: Eukaryota; Metazoa; Arthropoda; Insecta; Blattodea; Blaberidae
Description: tRNA-Ser
Source: RNAcentral
GAAAUAUUGUGUAAGAUAAAAGCUGCUAACUUUAUUAUCUUAAUGGUUAAACUCCAUUAAUGUUUCU